This 1438-nucleotide long non-coding RNA is filed under the name Felis catus (domestic cat). Its description in RNAcentral is "lncRNA (ENSFCAG00000046800.1)". Lineage: Eukaryota; Metazoa; Chordata; Mammalia; Carnivora; Felidae. The record is from RNAcentral.
AUGAGCCCAUCUCCUCCCCAGUUGCAAGUCACAAUGGCAGAGGUCGCCCUGUGUAUUGCGAAGGAAUGGAAUAAGGCUUUUCUGACCAUCUUAACACGUAUCAUUCCGUAUUUUUUUUUCAUUACUGAGUUCUGUGCAGAACAGGUGGCUCUGGAACGCACUGCUGCUCUGUACCUCUGCCCCUGCCCCGCGUCACGUGCAGCGCCUUACCUGGCUCCGUCCCUCAGCACUGCACUGCGUCCUACUCAGCGCCACCCCGCGGUUCGGGAGAUGGUACCAUACGCGGGAUGGUUCUCCCUAGCGUCGAGCGGCCCGGGACCAGGGUCUAUUGUGAUGCACCGCAUCCUGGCACCAUGGGGCACCUUACACCUCAGCAACUGUGCUGACUCCGUGAGUCAGGAAAUCGCAGGGCACCUGCGCCCCUUGGUGGUUCCUUAGGUGGCAUUGUACCUUGGUUCCGUACUGCAACUGCCUUUGGCAUUUCCAGGCCUUUCCGGGAGCUGUUUGAUGAUGAGGAUUCUUUGUUUCACCAUCUGGGUCAGGCACGUGAACUUUCUCAUAGACUCUCUGUGCACUUCCUAUUCAAAUGGAGUAUUAACUCUCACCUUGCUAAGUCUGUUUCCCCAGAAUCUUCACCAUUCACUUCUGAUCACAUGGAUGGAUAUUCAUUCGGGUCAUUAUCCUUACCAUCUUCCACUCAUGUCUGAUCACUUCAACCCGUCUUUCACAAGAAUCCUCAGAGCUGGUUUAUCCAGAACCCUCUUUAUCCUCGAUGUUUUCUCUUAAAAUUUUUUUACUGAUCCACUGUCCUCAAUCCUGCCCCUUGGCGACAGUUGCACACGUGGUGUUGCUAUAUUCGGAGUUGAGUCCUGUCCACCCCGCUGUAAAGCCCGGUUGCAGAGGUCCCUGUACCUACUGCAGUGCUUCUGAGUGAAGGCCGCGUUACCAUCCCUAACAAGUGUCACUGGGUGGACUGCCCCAUAAUGGUGGCACUCUGUGGGAAGCCAUACUGUGGUACCACCGUGCGGGGACACCAUUCUCCAUUCUUUGUACUGGCGAUCUUACCAAUAGCCCUCUACUGUAUCCACGUGGGACAUGCGGUGUUUGUCUUUAUUUGCCUGGGGUACUGUGCUGAGCAUAAUGUCCUCUAUGUGCGCUCACCAUGUAGCACCGGAAAAGGCACCCCCCCCCCCCCCGAAGGCUGCCCUGGUAUUCCAGUGUAUGCUUACAUCCCAUUUUCUCUUUCCGCUCAUCUAGCAAUUGACAUUUGGGAUAGAUUCAUCCUUUGGCAAUUGUGAACAAUGUUGCGAUGAACAGGGGGCACCAAAUAUCUUUCAGACUCUACUUUUAGUAGUUCUGGAUAAUACCACAAGUGGGAUUCCUGGAUCAUGUGAUACUCCCUCUUUUCAUAAUUUUGAGUAAUCUCUAUACUGUUUUC